AAAAUAGGCCAGCUUUUAGGUCCUUGAAGAGUAAAAACAGAAAUUAAAAGGGUUAGAAGGAAAAGAAAAAAUCUAAAGGCUGCCCUAAUUUUCAUGUUUUAAAAGGAUAGACUCUCAUUCACUCUCACACACAUCUUUACACACGCCCGAGCCACAACAACAGCUGGAAGCCCUAGAGUUUCAGAUCUGAAAACAAAAACUCCCAAAUAUCAAAAUAAAAACUCCCAAAGAAGAGGAUUUCGAAGAGCUGAUUGACCUCUACUGGUUGCUAUACAAUUUCUGGGAUUUUCUGAAUUGAUCAAGUUUUAAAAAUCAUUUUUGUUUUCUGUUGCUGUUCUGGGUUUUCUGUAGCUGAGCUCCACUUCAUAGCUGUUGUUUUUCCUGCCUUUAUUUGGCUUUUUGUAAGACUUUGCACUGCUGCAAGGUAUUUAUUCCAGCCUCAAAUGAUGUAAUUGUUGUUUAGAUGUCAUUGUGCUAUGAAAUAUGCCAAUUGUGUUUCUGUUGAAUGCUCUUACAUAUUGAUUGCAAUUUUAAGUUGGUAUUGAAAUAUUUGAUGUAACUCUUGUCUAAAACAUGUUGUAGAUUCAAAUAACAAUAAGAUAUGUUUAAAAAUUGAGUUGGUUUUGUGGUUUGACGUUUUGCUUUUACCUGCUGGUCUGUUUGUUUGGUAAUAGCAAUUUGUGAUGUUAAUUUUGCCAUACCUAAAACUGAAAUUGUUUGUUACUUGUGCUAGAACCUGUUUUCAAUUGAUUCAUUUAAGUAAAUGUUUAAUCAUGUGUUGAGUGUUGUUUCAGAUUUAAUUAGCCAUGAAUUUGACUAUAAAUCUCCAGGUUAAUCAGGCAAUUCUGAGUUCAUUUCAGCAGGCAGGGUUGAAUAGAAAUGAGGAUUUGGGAAUAGUCUUAGUCCUAAAAGUUGUUAGAGAUCACAAAUAGUUAUCUUAAUGUAAUAAUGUUGCAUCAAAUUAGAUUUACAUCUUUCGUGUGCUAUUGCUAAGCAGCUUAUGAUGUAAGGAUUAAUUGCAUGUUUGAUCUUGAAGAUGGUAGCCCCCGUUAUUAAUAUUGUUUCGAACAGCUUGAGUUUCAUUUACUGGGUUUGAUUAUGGGUUUAGAGUUGGGCAGACUUGUACCCAUAUAAACACCUCCAAUAUAAAUAAGUUUUAAGGUGAUUAAUGGCUGUUAGAUACCCUGCUAGGAUCACUGUAAUUAAUUUCCCAUCCACCACCAAGUGACUCUAACAUUAGAGUCGAAUGACUGAAGGCUCAACCAUUACUUUAAUAAACCAGAUGUUAAGGAAUUUUCUUUUUGUGAUCUUACACGCAUUGGAAAAGACAAUUUAGUGGUUAACCAAUAGCUUCGAAUCCACCUGAUUAAAUGUGUUGUUCAUCCACAAUAAGUCCUUCUAUAACGUUGGGCCUUUACAUUAAUCUCAAAUUACCGCAUAUAGGUAGUUAAUCUUUGAACAUUCGUAAUUUGCUUUAGACGCUCUUUAACUAAAAUCCGUCAAAAUUAUGGGUACGGUUUCCGUGACAUAACUUUGACACCUAAUCAGAGGCGGAUCCAGGAUUCGAAGGUUGUGGGUGCUACCAUGUUAUGCGUACAAUAUACAUGUAGUAACUACAAAGACAAAUUAGGAAUAAUGGGUCGGUUCGGUUAGUUUUUGGUUAAUUUGAAUAGGCCUUUCAUUCACAAAGCAAAUAAGUUCGAUUUUAGUUCAAAUUUUUAACUCUUAUUUUAAACACAUUCUAAAUAAAAAUGCAAAAGAAAAAUAACAUUUCAUGAAAGAGCGCCUCCAAUAUAAAUACUUGCUUAAAGAGUACCUUAACUAUACUAUAUUCUUUGUUUGACUAGGUUAAUUUACUUGUAUUGUUCUUUGUUUAUUUUUUCAUCUUAAUUGUUGAGUUAUAUGACAAUUAUUUUCAAAGAAAAACCUUUAACAUUCAACCGAUAUUCAACUCAAAACGACUAUCAAUCAAGCCAUUUAAUUAUUUUUUCAAAACCCAAUAGAAGAUAUUGCUCAAAUUAUAUUCCAAAAUAUAAAUUAAUAUCGUUUCAUUAAAAAUAAAGAAAUUAUAUUCUAAUUAAAAUCAAUUAAAAUUACCUAUAGAAAAUAAUUGUUUAUAAAGUAAGGUAUAAUGAUAGAAACAAAAUGAGGACUGAAAGUUAAAAAAAAUGAAAAAGAGAGACUUAGCAAGUAAUAAAAGGAGGGAAAGAACCGAAAAAGAAGGAAAAGAGGUGAGGCCCUAGGGUUCAACUGAAAAUAAAAGAAAUCUUAAUAAGUAGAAAAAAAAAUCAAAGAGCUGCUCCAACAAGGAAUCGAACUUGCAUUCAUGAGGCCAAGAAAAGCCUUCAGAAGGAAGGUUGAACCAAUGGCACCCGCUUUCACUUUGUGACUUUUGGGUGCCACUCUAUCCAUUUAUACAUUUCUUUACAGAGAUAUUAUGUACAUAAUAAGAAUUUUAGCGAAGCGAGCGGGUGCCGUGGUACCCCUAACUUACAAGGUAGAUCCGCCCCUGCACCUAAUCUCAAAUUCAAUCCAUCUUCCUUUUGAUUGGCCUAUAUCUUUGAAUCCGGUCUUUCGUUAUUCCCACAUUCCCUUAGUCCCGUAUUGGCUGUCGGUCUAUCUCAUAUUCGCAGAAGAAGGAAUGACGGACUAAGACGGCCAGAAGUGGCCAGCAGUCGCGGUCGAAGCUUGGCUCUAGCCGAUAGGCUAGCAGUAAGCUUGGCUACAGCGAAGCGCUUACCAAGCGCGAAGGAAAGGGCCUUAGCCACUUGAGCCGUAUGCGGGGUAACUCGCACGUGCGGUUCUUAGGGGGGAGAGCUAGUAGGAGCCAUCCCAUAUGACUUGACCCUAACUUCAAAUAAUAAUAAAAUAAACAUGUUGUAAAUCACAGGUACGUUUCACGUGGCGUGAUUUAUAAUAUGUAUAAAAAAAUAAUAAGUGCGCGACAUCGUGACUUGUUUAAAUAAUUUUCAUAAUUGUGUAAAAUAAUUAAAAGCGAUAAAAGUUUAAAACGCACAGUAAGUUCUAAAACGUCUAAUAAUCAGAUAAGUAAGCCAGGUAUAAUUGUAAAGUGAUCGUGAUAAAACUACGGAAUUCGGGAGUGCCUCACACCUUUUUCCGGAUUAACAGAAUUCCUUACCCGAUCUUCUAUGUUCGCAGACUUUAAAUAGAGUCAAUUUUUCUUGAUUUGGGAUUCAAAAUAAUUGGUGACUCGGACACCGCAAUUAAAUAAUUUCGAGUAGUGACUCUUGUAAAAUAAAAUAAAUUAAUCAUCCUUCAAAUAAUAUCAUUUAAAGUGGAAAAACUUCUUUCCCCAUAAAAAAGAGAUGUGACAGUUCUGGAGACUCUGCUGGGGACACGAAUCCAGAACUUCUGGUUCAGGGUUCAGAAUUCGAGCUUAGAAUAACUGUUAUACUUGGCUUGUUCGUUUAUUGUCUCACUUUACGUGUUUGGGUCUAAUGUGCUAAUUGCCGCUCUUUACCGCUUUAAUAUUGUCGUGAACUGUAUAUAAACUGUUACGACAUCCUUCUUCUCUCCGAGUCUUCUAAAUCUUCCAGCAAGCGUGCGCUUCGCGUGGCUUCUUUUCUAUUAGAUGUCAUACCCUUAAUUUUAGAUCGAGGGCCGGACCAGUUGCAAAGUCGAUGAAGCUUAUGUAUUCCCGGUACGCUGCCCCCUCGGCUCGAGUUGUCCGCUUGGGUAAGCCUUGUCUAGAACUCUACACCGUAAGGUUUAAACUUAGAAGAACAAAUCCCUAGUAGGUACACUUGUUUGCAUCACGUGCAUUUGACUUUGGGGACUUAACACAGGAGUUGGGUCCGUCUAGAACAUGUGUACCCCCAAAAUAAAAUACCAUCAUGAUGCAUCUUAUGUGUUACUUGUUGCAUUUGUUUGUUCUGGUUUGCAUGUUGAUUAGCUUAUAGAAUAGGGAUAGAAAAUCAAGAAAAACUAGGAGAGUAAAAAUAGGAGGGAGAAAAUUUGCCCGGUUCCUGAAAAUCCCAAUUUUUUUGGAAAAAAAAAGAGAAAGAGAAAGAGAAAGAAAAAUCCUGAAACUCUAUCGAAUUUUUAGAAGGUUGUUACAAAAUGAGUCCAAACUUUCAAAAAAUGAUCUUUUCCUUAAUUUUGAAAAAAAUUCCCCGAACUACGUAGGUCUGAUUCUAACCGGAUGUGAAAUACGUAGAAAAUCUUCAUCAGGUCCGGCCCCACUUUUGCAAAAAUAACCAAAAAUAGGAAUAUGGCAAAAUUUUUAAAACAUGGUCAUUACCCUGGGCCGUUCUUGUCGAAAUAACCUCAAAAUGUUCUCCCAGGAUGCCGGAAGGCCGUUUUUGCAAGAAUAGCCACAAUAUUAACCCGAGUCAGUCUUUUCCCUAUAAUCAACACCAUUUGGCAGAAACAACCCUAAAAACUUUUCUCAAGCGCUGAAGGGUUGUAUUUGCGAAAAUAACCCAUGUUUGUCACUAAGUUAUUAAACGAAAAUUUUAAAUUUAGCCACUUUGUGUUUUUGAAAACAGUGUCUGUUUUGACCCUUUGUCCUAAUUUGCGUACAGAAUGUGCACUGUUGAGAAUUUACUUUUUUGGGUCGUAGACGAGAUUCCUUUGAUACUCCACAUGUGGUGGAAUGACCUAGGGGAAGUCGGUCAGCGUUCUGUGACCAAGGCAUUGGGUGGUCUUAACGAUCUUUUGAAGAUUAAGCCAAGGGUUGAUAUGAUCGAGGUAUUGAUACCGUUCUGGGACCCGGUACAUAAUGUUUUUCACUUCUCGAAUUUAGAGUUGACUCUUACGCUGGAGGAGAUAGCAGGUUAUGCCGAAUAUGAUGGGGGUCUUAGUCAUAUGUAAUGACCCGAUCACUCAUUUUAAGAAUUAGCAUCCCAUUCGGUGGUUUAAGAUCUCGAUCAACUUUAUAUUAUGUAUUAUGACGUGAGUGUAUUGUCGAGUUCGAAUUUCGGAUGAUUCGAGAUUGAUUUGGAAGAAUGAUUUUUGCUUUAGGAGCUUAAGUGAAAAGAGUUGACCGGAGUUUUGACUUUUAUGUAGACGACUCUGGAAUGGUGUUUUGAUGAUUCCAAUAGCUUCAUAUGGUGAUUUUGGGCUUAGGCGUGUGUCCGGAUUUGGAUUUGGAGAUCCGUAGGAUAAUUUGAAGCAUUUUGGCAAAAAUUGAAAAGUUGAGAGGUUUGACCAGAAGUUGACUUGGUUGAUAUCAGGCUCGAAUUGCGAUUAUGAGAGUUGGAUUAGAUCCGUUAUGUCAUUUGGGACUUGCAUGUAGAAUUUGAGAUUAUUCCGGAUUGAUUUGAUAUGUUUCGGCGCGAGUUAUAGAAAUUGAAAAUUCAUAAGUCUUUUAAGUUCGAUUCGAGGUGCGAUUCAUAGUUUUGACAUUUCUGGAUGUGAUUUGAGGCCUCGAGUAGGUUCGUGUUAUGUUGUAGGACUUGUUGGUAUAUUCAGACGGGGUCCCGAGGGGCUCGGGUGAGUUUCGGACAUGAUUCAGAUCAUUUUUGGUCAUGUUGGCAGUUCUGGUGCUGGUUCUUCGCACCUGCGCAAAAUUGGCCGUAGGUGCAGACGCGCUUAUGCGAUGGAUGCUUCGCUUUUGCUAAGGGGAGGUGCUGUGGCGAGUUCCACUUUUGCGGAGGGAGAUGCGCAGAUGCGCAAGCGCUCCUGCGGGGACUCGAUUGCUUCUGUGAGUCUGAGUGCGAAUAGGGCGUCCGCUUCUGCGGUGGGGGCAGGCGCUUCUGGGGAGUCGCAGGUGCGGCAGAUGCUCCGCAGGUGCGGUCUUUUGUCCUUUGAUUUUUAGUCGAAGAAGCGAUGUUUUGGCUCGCAAAUGCGAGGCUGUAGGUGCGGCAUUUUGUCCGCAAAUACGAAAAAUUCUAGGCAGAAAGGUUAUAUUCGAGGGCUUGCCAUUUUUACCAUAUUUUGAGUUGUAGACCUCAGAGUCGAGCGAUUUUUGAGGGGUUCUUCAAGUGUUCGAUUGGGGUAAGUAUUCUAUUCCGAAGUUGAUUACAUUUACUGAUUUCAUAAUUAUUUAUAUCAUUAAAUUAGUGAAUUGAAUGGAAGAAAAUGGGAAAUUUCAUAAAAAUCUUUCAAAAUGUAAAAUGAAGAUUUGAAGGGCAAUUCGAUGUCGGAAAUUGAUAAUUUUGGUAUGGUUGGACUCGUAUCGGAAUGGGUGUUCAGGUUUUGUAAAUUUUUAUAGGGUUUCGAGGUGCGGGCAUAGGGUUGACUUUUGGGUUGAUUUUUUAGUUUUAAUAAAUGAUCGUAGUUUUAUUAUCUAGAAUUGUUUUCUAUGAGUUUUAUUUGUGUUAUGAAGUUAUUUUGGCUAGAUUUGAGCCGUCCGGAGGUUGUUUCACACAAGAAGGUCAUUUUAGAGUAUCAGUGUAGGUUUUUUGAGAUAAAUAUCUUACCUCACCUUGUAUGGGGGAACUACCCCUUAGGAUUUGAGUCAUUUGUGCUAAUUGUGUCAUGUGAAGACCGUGUACGUGAGGUGAUGAGUAUGUACGAGCUUAUUUGUGGGAACUUGACCGUUGUAAGCUCUUAGGUUAUUUUUCUCAAUUAAAAUUGAAGUUGUCUUAUCAUGUUAAAUCCUACAUUUACUAAAUUUAUCCUUACAUGUCUUAACUGGAGUUGAUUGGUUCAUGUUCUACCCUUGUUGCCAAUAAACUAUUAUGUGCCUUAAUUAAAGUUGUCGCCUCUUUUAUUGCCAUGCUAUCUUUUUCGUAAAUGCUUAACUUUAAUUGAAGUUAUUAUUAUUCCUUCCGUAAUUGAUUAACUUUAAUUGAAGUUAUUAUUAUCUCUUCCGUAAUUACUUAGCCUUAAUUGAAGUUUUGUUAUCCCUUUCAUUGUUGACGGGUUCUUAUUUGGGGUCAUUGAUUCAUGUUAUCUCUCUUAUCAUCGAAUUGUACUUUUGUGAAAUUAUUGUUACACAUUAUCUCUCCCUUGUUGAGCUAUUCUUGUUGAGACUAUUAUUCCCUGUUGUGUCUUUCUUUGUGAUCUCGUUCUUUCGUUUCUUUAUGUUCUGAAGUUCUUGUGUUGAUUCACUUGUCGUACUCUUAUGUUAUUGUUGUUAUUGUUGUUGUACUCAGUGUUGUUGAGCCGAGAGCGAUGCGUGAUUGUGGUGCCGAGAUUGUUUUGAGGAAAAUUUAUGGCAUAUGGGCACAUGUGGUGAAAGACCUUAUAUUGUGUUGUUAUGUUUUGGCACAUGUGAUAUUGUUGAGAGGAUUGUCAGGGUGUUCGCACGUGAGUUGUCCGUGCUAUUAUUGUUAUUGAUAUUUGCACAUGCGGUGUGACAAGUCGGGCUAUAUAUGUGGGUUUGCGCAUGUGGCGAAAGAAGGUGAGAAUAUUAUUAUGCACAUGCGGCGAGACAAGACAGGCAUUUACUUUAUUGUUGCGCACGUGGUGAGACAAGAUGGGCUAUGUCGGGGAAUGAUUUGUGAUGACUUGUGAUGGACUGGAGGCAUUGUUAUUGUUGAUAUUUGUGUAGUGGUGUUCCUACCUUGUGUGAGUUAUACCUAGUACAUUUCUUGAUGAUCAUUUCUUAUGUGCCAUUCAUUGUCUCCACUUUUACUUGUUGACUUGAAUUGUGAUAGAAUACUUGCACAAGCAUACACGUAAUUAAUUACCCAUAUUGGUUUAAGAAGAUAAAUCCUGAUGUUAUUGACCAUUUACAUGUACUCAUGUUUACUUGCCUUCGGUGUGGGAGUUGUUCUAUUGGCAUGUGAGUUGUCCGUGUGGUCACGAGUCAUUAUUAUUGUUUGCACGUGACUUGUCCGUGUGGAUAUUUGAUAUUGUUACUUCCUUGGCACGUGAGUCGUCCGUGCGGUUUUGAAUUGUAAUGUGGGCACGAGAUGCCAAGUGAUUAGGGUCUGCGCGUCGGGACCCCUGAAGUGUGACUAAGAGGUGAAGUAACUCGGGGAAAUCUUUGAACAAAUCUUGUGUGGAAGCGGUUGCUCUUGUUGAAUCAUUACUUGUUCCUUCUACUUGAUUUCACCGGACCUAAACUGUGUUCAGCUUACUCUAUGGUGUUAUUACCUGUUUUUCCCAUGUUGCUAAUCGUUGUUUCUAGGGCUUUAUUGUGAGUAUUGUUUUGUUAACUUUACCAUGCUUAGCUUUAUAUUGACAUUGUUUUCUUGUUAGUUUCACAUUCAUACUUGUACAUGUUAUUUAGUCUAGUAAGUGUCUUGACUGUCCCUCGUCACUACUUUACCGAGGUUAGUCUUGAUACUUACUGGGUAUCGCUGUUGUGUACUCAUACUACGCUUUCUGCACAUUUUUAUGCAGAUCCAGGUACCUCAGAUGUUUGUUGAUCAUUAGCUAUCUAAUCAGGCAUUUGCUAUGGAGACUCAAGGUAAACUUGCUAUUGCGUUCGCAGGCCUCUGAGUCACUUUCUGAGAUUUUACUUGUACUGUUUAUUUCUAUUCCAGAACAGUUGUACUUAGGGAUUUUUUGGUAAACUCAGUAAAGAUUAUGACUUGUACUACCGAUUUUGGGUAUUGUAUUGCACUUGGGAUUUAGUGGAUUACUAUAUAAAUUUCAGUUUCAUGCUUAA
RNAcentral lists this long non-coding RNA (8524 nucleotides) under Nicotiana tabacum (common tobacco). The record is from RNAcentral. Lineage: Eukaryota; Viridiplantae; Streptophyta; Magnoliopsida; Solanales; Solanaceae.